RNAcentral lists this ribosomal RNA (254 nucleotides) under uncultured bacterium. RNAcentral's name for it is "partial 16S ribosomal RNA". It matches the Rfam family "Bacterial small subunit ribosomal RNA", at positions 524 to 776 of the family's 1533-position model. The record is from RNAcentral.
UACAGAGGGUGCGAGCGUUUGUCCGGAAUCACUGGGCGUAAAGGGCGCGUAGGUGGCGCGACAAGUCAGUGGUGAAAGUUCGACGCUCAACGUCGAAUCGGCCACUGAUACUGUUGGGCUUGAGCACUGUAGAGGCUAAUGGAAUUCCGGGUGUAGCGGUGGAAUGCGUAGAGAUCCGGAAGAACACCGGUGGCGAAGGCGGUUAGCUGGCCCGGAACUGACGCUGAGACGCGAAAGCGUGGGGAGCAAACAGG